Molecule: ribosomal RNA, 467 nt
Filed under: uncultured Rhodocyclaceae bacterium
Lineage: Bacteria; Pseudomonadati; Pseudomonadota; Betaproteobacteria; Rhodocyclales; Rhodocyclaceae
Description: bacterial SSU rRNA
Rfam family: Bacterial small subunit ribosomal RNA
Source: RNAcentral
GGGGACCCGCACAAGCGGUGGAUGAUGUGGAUUAAUUCGAUGCAACGCGAAAACCUUACCUACCCUUGACAUGUCCGGAAUCCCGAAGAGAUUUGGGAGUGCUCGCAAGAGAGCCGGAACACAGGUGCUGCAUGGCUGUCGUCAGCUCGUGUCGUGAGAUGUUGGGUUAAGUCCCGCAACGAGCGCAACCCUUGUCAUUAGUUGCCAUCAUUUGGUUGGGCACUCUAAUGAGACUGCCGGUGACAAACCGGAGGAAGGUGGGGAUGACGUCAAGUCCUCAUGGCCCUUAUGGGUAGGGCUUCACACGUCAUACAAUGGUCGGUACAGAGGGUUGCCAACCCGCGAGGGGGAGCUAAUCCCACAAAGCCGGUCGUAGCCCGGAUCGCAGUCUGCAACUCGACUGCGUGAAGUCGGAAUCGCUAGUAAUCGCGGAUCAGCAUGUCGCGGUGAAUACGUUCCCGGGUCUU